Molecule: ribosomal RNA, 433 nt
Filed under: uncultured bacterium
Lineage: Bacteria
Description: partial 16S ribosomal RNA
Rfam family: Bacterial small subunit ribosomal RNA
Source: RNAcentral
AACGAACGCUGGCGGCAUGCCUAACACAUGCAAGUCGAACGAUACCUUCGCGUCUAGUGGCGCACGGGUGCGUAACGCGUGGUAACCUGCCCUUAGGUUCGGAAUAACUCCCCGAAAGGGGUGCUAAUACCGGAUAAUGUCUUCGGACCAAAGAUUUAUCGCCGUUGGAUGGGCCCGCGUUGGCUUAGCUAGUUGGUAGGGUAAAAGCCUACCAAGGCGACGAUACAUAGCUUGUCUGAGAGGAUGAUCAGCCACACUGGGAGUGAGACACGGCCCAGACUCCUAGGGGAGGAGGCAGUGGGGAAUAUUGGAAAAUGGGCGACAGACUGAGCCAGCACGGGCGGGUGAGUGAUGAAGGACUUAGGGUUGAAAAGCUCUUUUACACGGGAGGAUAAUGACAGUACCGGAAGAAUAAGCUCCGGCUAACUCCGUG